UACGUAGGGUGCGAGCGUUGUCCGGAAUUAUUGGGCGUAAAGGGCUCGUAGGCGGUUUGUCGCGUCGGGAGUGAAAACGCCGUGCUUAACACGGCGCUUGCUUCCGAUACGGGCAGACUGGAGGUAUGCAGGGGAGAACGGAAUUCCUGGUGUAGCGGUGAAAUGCGCAGAUAUCAGGAGGAACACCGGUGGCGAAGGCGGUUCUCUGGGCAUUACCUGACGCUGAGGAGCGAAAGUGUGGGGAGCGAACAGG
Molecule: ribosomal RNA, 253 nt
Filed under: uncultured bacterium
Lineage: Bacteria
Description: partial 16S ribosomal RNA
Rfam family: Bacterial small subunit ribosomal RNA
Source: RNAcentral